This 558-nucleotide ribosomal RNA is filed under the name uncultured bacterium. Its description in RNAcentral is "bacterial SSU rRNA". It matches the Rfam family "Bacterial small subunit ribosomal RNA", at positions 947 to 1504 of the family's 1533-position model. The record is from RNAcentral.
UAAUUCGAUGCAACGCGAAGAACCUUACCUGGUCUUGACAUAUCUAGAAUCCUGCAGAGAUGCGGGAGUGCCUUCGGGAAUUAGAAUACAGGUGCUGCAUGGCUGUCGUCAGCUCGUGUCGUGAGAUGUUGGGUUAAGUCCCGCAACGAGCGCAACCCUUGUCCUUAGUUACCAGCGGUUUGGCCGGGAACUCUAAGGAUACUGCCAGUGACAAACUGGAGGAAGGCGGGGACGACGUCAAGUCAUCAUGGCCCUUACGACCAGGGCUACACACGUGCUACAAUGGUAGGUACAGAGGGCAGCUACACAGCGAUGUGAUGCGAAUCUCAAAAAGCCUAUCGUAGUCCAGAUUGGAGUCUGCAACUCGACUCCAUGAAGUAGGAAUCGCUAGUAAUCGCGGAUCAGAAUGCCGCGGUGAAUACGUUCCCGGGCCUUGUACACACCGCCCGUCACACCAUGGGAGUUGAUUGCACCAGAAGUGGGUAGCCUAACCUUUUAGGAUGGCGCUCACCACGGUGUGGUUGAUGACUGGGGUGAAGUCGUAACAAGGUAACCGUA